Molecule: long non-coding RNA, 849 nt
Organism: Schistocerca piceifrons (Central American locust)
Lineage: Eukaryota; Metazoa; Arthropoda; Insecta; Orthoptera; Acrididae
Exons: 4
Source: RefSeq, a predicted model, not a curated record
UCCCAGCACCAAUCACUGCGAAUAUGAGAUACUCUCCAAUCACCUAACAAAAUGGACACAACUAGCGAUGUGAAUGGUCAAACCUAGUCCAUAGAAUAUGCUGGCACACGAUGUUCGAACAUUGGCCGCAAGAGGGCAGCCAUGUAGUGUAUGCGGAUACGCGCUGCUGGAACUUUAAUGUAUGCGGAUAUCAUCGGGAACAUGCAAUAAAAUGUGUGAAGAUGCGGAAGUAGCAAUGCAUCGAAGGCACUGCACUUACAAGAUCCUAUUUCAUGAAGUCAGCAGUAAAAGGAAUUGUGCCUCAGUAAUAAGUAAAAGAUUGUUCGUCAGCUGUAACCAAUUUUCGCGCAGACAGAAGAAAAUAUUAAGAACAGUACAAGACGUUAAGUAAACACUUUGAGAAGAAUCUUGAAAAUCAGGCAAGAAACAAAUACAGCACUAUAUUGAUCUGCAAAAAGUGUCCAUUUCCCAAACACAUUCGACACCCUUCAUAUUGUCUAUUUUGCAACCACAAUAUUGGCUGCUAAUGGGAAAAGAAUGCAGAACUGGAGGUAUCUGAAGGCGAGCACAGCAUGAGGAAACAGAACAUAGUUGAACUGCUUGGUUGGAAAGGAACACUGGAAAUUAGAGAUGACAAGCUUUCUCAUCAUAAGAAAGAACCCAAGUUGACUACAAGCAAGUGUAAAUAAAAUAGAAGCCCAACUAAAUGGAUGGUUUGAGGGGAAUAAGUGAUUGAAAAAGUCAAAAAUGUAACAUUUCUGAACUUCUGUAUUAAAGCUGAUGCUUGCAACACCAGUGUGACAAACUCCAACAAAAUCACAUAGGAAAAGAAUUCUAAGCAUUUAGCUC